GGGGAUGACCUGGCUUCGACGUGGGUUACAAAACCUGAGGUGCAUGCCGAGGAUGUAGACACCUCGUAAAUCAUUCUGCACUUUUAUAGUUGCCAACGACGACAACUACGCACUCGCUGCUUAAUAACCAGUAGAAUGCCGUCUGACUGAAGCCGUGCUUAUGCGUUCAGAUUCCAGGCGUCGACUCUCAUAAGAUCGCAAUGAAGCAUGUUCAGUGUGGAUUUGUUAAACACUUAUCUGAGCUCGCUAUCUGUUCUCCCUGCCCGUCGGGUAGCAGAUAGCUAAACUAAUAGACCGGGAUAAGCAUGUAGAGCCGAAGGCGGAGGAUUCGCGGACGCGGGUUCGACUCCCGCCAUCUCCACCA
This 364-nucleotide transfer-messenger RNA is filed under the name Gammaproteobacteria (g-proteobacteria). RNAcentral's name for it is "Thiopontia autotrophica Standard tmRNA". It matches the Rfam family "transfer-messenger RNA". Rfam says of the family: Bacterial tmRNA, also known as 10Sa RNA or SsrA, is named for its dual tRNA and mRNA-like properties. Its role is to liberate the mRNA from a stalled ribosome. The record is from RNAcentral. RNAcentral also lists the same sequence under 3 other names. Lineage: Bacteria; Pseudomonadati; Pseudomonadota.